Molecule: ribosomal RNA, 66 nt
Filed under: Betiscoides sp. B44_dh_78
Lineage: Eukaryota; Metazoa; Arthropoda; Insecta; Orthoptera; Lentulidae
Description: partial 16S ribosomal RNA
Source: RNAcentral
AGUACGAAAGGACCANAAGAGUAAAAUAAUUUUAUUAUCUUUUGAUUACUAUUAAUUUAGGAUAAA